This 68-nucleotide microRNA precursor is filed under the name Echinops telfairi (small Madagascar hedgehog). Its description in RNAcentral is "miRNA (ENSETEG00000023829.1)". The record is from RNAcentral. Lineage: Eukaryota; Metazoa; Chordata; Mammalia; Afrosoricida; Tenrecidae.
UGACAACACACACACACACAUCUUUGUGAGUGUGUGUGUGUGUGUGUGUGUAAAUAAAGUAGAGAAAA